RNAcentral lists this ribosomal RNA (1088 nucleotides) under Bacillus siamensis. RNAcentral describes it as "bacterial SSU rRNA". It matches the Rfam family "Bacterial small subunit ribosomal RNA", at positions 49 to 1120 of the family's 1533-position model. The record is from RNAcentral. Lineage: Bacteria; Bacillati; Bacillota; Bacilli; Caryophanales; Bacillaceae.
CUAUACUGCAGUCGAGCGGACAGAUGGGAGCUUGCUCCCUGAUGUUAGCGGCGGACGGGUGAGUAACACGUGGGUAACCUGCCUGUAAGACUGGGAUAACUCCGGGAAACCGGGGCUAAUACCGGAUGGUUGUUUGAACCGCAUGGUUCAGACAUAAAAGGUGGCUUCGGCUACCACUUACAGAUGGACCCGCGGCGCAUUAGCUAGUUGGUGAGGUAACGGCUCACCAAGGCGACGAUGCGUAGCCGACCUGAGAGGGUGAUCGGCCACACUGGGACUGAGACACGGCCCAGACUCCUACGGGAGGCAGCAGUAGGGAAUCUUCCGCAAUGGACGAAAGUCUGACGGAGCAACGCCGCGUGAGUGAUGAAGGUUUUCGGAUCGUAAAGCUCUGUUGUUAGGGAAGAACAAGUGCCGUUCAAAUAGGGCGGCACCUUGACGGUACCUAACCAGAAAGCCACGGCUAACUACGUGCCAGCAGCCGCGGUAAUACGUAGGUGGCAAGCGUUGUCCGGAAUUAUUGGGCGUAAAGGGCUCGCAGGCGGUUUCUUAAGUCUGAUGUGAAAGCCCCCGGCUCAACCGGGGAGGGUCAUUGGAAACUGGGGAACUUGAGUGCAGAAGAGGAGAGUGGAAUUCCACGUGUAGCGGUGAAAUGCGUAGAGAUGUGGAGGAACACCAGUGGCGAAGGCGACUCUCUGGUCUGUAACUGACGCUGAGGAGCGAAAGCGUGGGGAGCGAACAGGAUUAGAUACCCUGGUAGUCCACGCCGUAAACGAUGAGUGCUAAGUGUUAGGGGGUUUCCGCCCCUUAGUGCUGCAGCUAACGCAUUAAGCACUCCGCCUGGGGAGUACGGUCGCAAGACUGAAACUCAAAGGAAUUGACGGGGGCCCGCACAAGCGGUGGAGCAUGUGGUUUAAUUCGAAGCAACGCGAAGAACCUUACCAGGUCUUGACAUCCUCUGACAAUCCUAGAGAUAGGACGUCCCCUUCCGGGGCAGAGUGACAGGUGGUGCAUGGNUGUCGUCAGCUCCUGUCCUGAGAUGUUGGGUUAAGUCCNGCAACGAGCGCAACCCUUGAUCUUAGUUGCCA